Molecule: ribosomal RNA, 469 nt
Filed under: uncultured bacterium
Lineage: Bacteria
Description: bacterial SSU rRNA
Rfam family: Bacterial small subunit ribosomal RNA
Source: RNAcentral
GGGCCCGCACAAGCGGUGGAGCAUGUGGUUUAAUUCGACGCAACGCGAAGAACCUUACCAAGGCUUGACAUCCUACGAAUCCUGUAGAGAUACGGGAGUGCCCCUUCUGGGGAACGUAGAGACAGGUGGUGCAUGGUUGUCGUCAGCUCGUGUCGUGAGAUGUUGGGUUAAGUCCCGCAACGAGCGCAACCCCUAUAUUCAGUUGCCAGCACUUCGGGUGGGAACUCUGGAUAGACUGCCGGUGACAAACCGGAGGAAGGUGGGGAUGACGUCAAAUCAUCAUGCCCCUUAUGUCUUGGGCUACACACGUGCUACAAUGGGCGGUACAGACGGAAGCGAAGCCGCGAGGUGGAGCAAAUCCGAGAAAGCCGCUCUCAGUUCGGAUUGCAGGCUGCAACUCGCCUGCAUGAAGUCGGAAUCGCUAGUAAUCGCAGGUCAGCACACUGCGGUGAAUACGUUCCCGGGCCUU